Molecule: ribosomal RNA, 449 nt
Filed under: uncultured bacterium
Lineage: Bacteria
Description: partial 16S ribosomal RNA
Rfam family: Bacterial small subunit ribosomal RNA
Source: RNAcentral
AACGAACGCUGGCGGCAUGCCUAACACAUGCAAGUCGAACGAGACCUUCGGGUCUAGUGGCGCACGGGUGCGUAACGCGUGGGAAUCUGCCCUAGGGUGCGGAAUAACUCGGAGAAAUCCGUGCUAAUACCGCAUAAUGUCUUCGGACCAAAGAUUUAUCGCCCUGGGAUGAGCCCGCGUAAGAUUAGCUAGUUGGUGGGGUAAAGGCCUACCAAGGCGACGAUCCUUAGCUGGUCUGAGAGGAUGAUCAGCCACACUGGGACUGAGACACGGCCCAGACUCCUACGGGAGGCAGCAGUGGGGAAUAUUGGACAAUGGGCGAAAGCCUGAUCCAGCAAUGCCGCGUGAGUGAUGAAGGCCCUAGGGUUGUAAAGCUCUUUUACCCGGGAUGAUAGUGACAGUACCGGGAGAAUAAGCUCCGGCUAACUCCGUGCCAGCCGCCGCCGUAA